RNAcentral lists this ribosomal RNA (253 nucleotides) under uncultured bacterium. Its description in RNAcentral is "partial 16S ribosomal RNA". It matches the Rfam family "Bacterial small subunit ribosomal RNA", at positions 524 to 776 of the family's 1533-position model. The record is from RNAcentral.
UACGUAGGGUGCAAGCGUUAAUCGGAAUUACUGGGCGUAAAGCGUGCGCAGGCGGUUGUACAAGACAGGUGUGAAAUCCCCGGGCUCAACCCGGGAACUGCGUCCGAUACUGGCAGGCUUGAAUUCGGGAGAGGGAUGCGGAAUUCCAGGUGUAGCGGUGAAAUGCGUAGAUAUCUGGAGGAACACCGGUGGCGAAGGCGGCAUCCUGGACCGAGAUUGACGCUGAGGCGCGAAAGCCAGGGGAGCAAACGGG